GGCGGUUCUCAGGUGACGCACCCCGGAAUUGGGCUCCCUCCUCCCUGGUUCCGGGUGCAUCACCUGGAAACAGCA
Non-coding RNA from Myotis davidii, 75 nucleotides. The record is from Rfam. NCBI's taxonomy places the organism in Eukaryota, Metazoa, Chordata, Mammalia, Chiroptera, Vespertilionidae.